UGGGAAUAUUGGACAAUGGGCGCAAGCCUGAUCCAGCAACGCCGCGUGGAGGAUGAAGGUCUUCGGAUCGUAAACUCCUGUCAGACGGGACGAAGGUUUGCGGGUGAAUAGCCCGUAGGCUUGACGGUACUGUCAGAGGAAGCCCCGGCUAACUCCGUGCCAGCAGCCGCGGUAAUACGGAGGGGGCGAGCGUUAUUCGGAAUUAUUGGGCGUAAAGGGCGCGUAGGCGGCUCGAUAAGUCAAAGGUGAAAUCCCUCGGCUCAACUGAGGAACUGCCUUUGAAACUGUCGAGCUCGAGUCCGGGAGGGGGUAGCGGAAUUCCCAGUGUAGCGGUGAAAUGCGUAGAUAUUGGGAGGAACACCAGUGGCGAAGGCGGCUACCUGGACCGGAACUGACGCUGAUGCGCGAAAGCGUGGGUAGCAAACAGGAUUAGAUACCCUGGUAGUCCACGCUGUAACGAUGGGUGCUCGGUGUCGCGGGUAUCGACCCCUGCGUGCCUUAGCUAACG
RNAcentral lists this ribosomal RNA (508 nucleotides) under uncultured Acidobacteriota bacterium. RNAcentral's name for it is "bacterial SSU rRNA". It matches the Rfam family "Bacterial small subunit ribosomal RNA", at positions 356 to 857 of the family's 1533-position model. Lineage: Bacteria; Pseudomonadati; Acidobacteriota. The record is from RNAcentral.